This 338-nucleotide unclassified non-coding RNA is filed under the name soil metagenome. RNAcentral's name for it is "partial contains 5.8S ribosomal RNA, internal transcribed spacer 2, and large subunit ribosomal RNA". The stretch from base 1 to 120 matches the Rfam family "5.8S ribosomal RNA", at positions 35 to 154 of the family's 154-position model. The record is from RNAcentral.
GAUGAAGAACGUAGCGAAAUGCGAUAAGUAAUGUGAAUUGCAGAAUUCAGUGAAUCAUCGAAUCUUUGAACGCACAUUGCGCCCGCCAGCACUCUGGCGGGCAUGCCUGUUCGAGCGUCAUUUCAACCAUCAAGCCCCCAGGGGCUUGUGCUGGGGCCCUGCGGCUGCCCGCAGGCCCUGAAAACCAGUGGCGGGCUCGCUAGUCACACCGAGCGCAGUAGCACAUCUCGCUCAGGGCGUGCGGCGGGCUCCUGCCGUGAAACCCCCCACUGUAACCCCAAAGGUUGACCUCGGAUCAGGUAGGAAUACCCGCUGAACUUAAGCAUAUCAAUAAGCGA